GCUGUCGUCAGCUCGUGUCGUGAGAUGUUGGGUUAAGUCCCGCAACGAGCGCAACCCCUGUUCCUAGUUGCCAGCGAGUAAAGUCGGGGACUCUAGGGAGACUGCCGGUGCCAAACCGGAGGAAGGUGGGGACGACGUCAAGUCAUCAUGGUCCUUACGUCUAGGGCUACACACGUGCUACAAUGGCGGGGACAAAGGGCUGCGAGCCGGCAACGGCAAGCCAAUCCCAUAAACCCCGCCUCAGUUCGGAUUGUCGUCUGCAACUCGACGGCAUGAAGCUGGAAUCGCUAGUAAUCGUGGAUCAGCUACGCCACGGUGAAUACGUUCCCGGGCCUUGUACACACCGCCCGUCACGCCAUGGAAGCUGUGAGCGCCCGAAGUCCGUGCAGCAACCCGCAAGGGGGCAAGCGGCCGAAGGCGAGCGCAGUGACUGGGGCGAAGUCGUAACAAGGUAGCCGUAGGGGAACCUGCGGCUGGAUCACCUCCUUAACGGACAUUCGAGUAGGCUGUCAACUGCGAGGGCGAAAGCUCGAGCGAUGGAUAGUUGAAAGAGUCUGUAAGUCGCUCGUCUCGACACAUCCAAAUCCCAAAUUCAAUGUUGCGUAGAUGCCGCGUUCCUGGGUUCGCUCAGGGACGGUGAGCGUCGAUGCUAUUUGACAACGGAAGAACAUGGUAGAUCGCGGAUUUGAGAAUCCUUAUUGAGGACUAUCGAUUUCGUCUUGCAGCAAUGGGUUGCGCUCGCGAAAGCUGGUGCGAGCCGUUGCACAGAGACGUUUGCAGAUUGUCACUCGAAAAGUCAGUAAGAAACUUCGUAAGAAGUAGAUCGUACCGCUCUGCUUGAACCACAGAUUGUUGUAGUCAAGCGAGCGAAGGCAUGUGGGGGAUGCCUGGGCACACGGAGGCGAUGAAGGCCGUGGUAAGCUGCGAUAAGCCAGGGGGAGCGGCACACACGCAUUGAUCCCUGGAUGGCCGAAUGGGGAAACCCG
RNAcentral lists this small RNA (986 nucleotides) under uncultured Gemmatimonas sp. RNAcentral describes it as "bacterial SSU rRNA". The stretch from base 1 to 489 matches the Rfam family "Bacterial small subunit ribosomal RNA", at positions 1048 to 1533 of the family's 1533-position model. Lineage: Bacteria; Pseudomonadati; Gemmatimonadota; Gemmatimonadia; Gemmatimonadales; Gemmatimonadaceae. The record is from RNAcentral.